GCACAAGCGUGGAGCAUGUGGUUUAAUUCGACGAUACGCGAAGAACCUUACCUGGCCUUGACAUACUAAAAAGCUUUAAGAGAUUAGAGUGUGCUAGCUUGCUAGAAUUUAGAUACAGGUGCUGCACGGCUGUCGUCAGCUCGUGUCGUGAGAUGUUGGGUUAAGUCCCGCAACGAGCGCAACCCUCGUGUUUAGUUGCUAACAGUUCGGCUGAGAACUCUAAACAGACUGCCUACGCAAGUAGGAGGAAGGUGAGGACGACGUCAAGUCAUCAUGGCCCUUACGGCCAGGGCUACACACGUGCUACAAUGGGGUAUACAAAGAGCAGCGAUACGGUGACGUGGAGCAAAUCUAGAAAAUGCCUCUCAGUUCGGAUUGUAGUCUGCAACUCGACUACAUGAAGUUGGAAUCGCUAGUAAUCGUAGAUCAGCAAUGCUACGGUGAAUACGUUCCCGGGUCUU
RNAcentral lists this ribosomal RNA (461 nucleotides) under uncultured Arcobacter sp. RNAcentral's name for it is "bacterial SSU rRNA". It matches the Rfam family "Bacterial small subunit ribosomal RNA", at positions 923 to 1382 of the family's 1533-position model. Lineage: Bacteria; Pseudomonadati; Campylobacterota; Epsilonproteobacteria; Campylobacterales; Arcobacteraceae. The record is from RNAcentral.